Molecule: long non-coding RNA, 21938 nt
Filed under: Medicago truncatula (barrel medic)
Lineage: Eukaryota; Viridiplantae; Streptophyta; Magnoliopsida; Fabales; Fabaceae
Description: long non-coding RNA (MTRU_LNC006071)
Rfam family: MIR2619 microRNA precursor family (bases 18766-18951)
Source: RNAcentral
AAAUUUCCUUAGCCACUGUAUCCUCAAGGUGAACACUAUUUCUCUUGUAAUACAGCUCUUUGAUGUCCUUCAAGUCUUUCUCCGCCCUUGUGAUCACCACACGGGUUAGUCCAUCCUCAUCGGUUCCAAUCCUUUUCAGCGCACCACGCAAAACCUACAUGAUAAGGAUUGAAUUAAUUCAAUUAAUCUAUCAAUACAAUGUCACAUAAUGUGGCUACAAUUUCAUUUGCAUAGUGUAUAAUUUAAAAUCACUUAUGCUAUAAUAUGUUUAAUCUAAAAUGGAAUGUCUUUUCCAAGAAAAAGAAAAAUUAGUGUUAAUGUUACCUUUUCAUAGUACUUCUUGUGGUCAUCAAUGCAACGAAUUGCAACAUGCACAGCCUUAAGGAAGUCAUCAGAUGCUUCAUUCAAAAGUUUCUGCAACGACAGAAAUGAAGAAAAGUCACACUCGUUUGAAGGAAGACGAAAAUCGUAAUACUUGAGGGUGCAAAAGUACACUUAGACCUAUUUAUAAUGAAAUGAAAUGCACAUUCUGAAAAUCUUUGCAACAGUGAUAAAAACAUGACAAAUAUUUUUUGUAUUGUGAAAUUCUUUGCAAUAGAAUUCUGAUAUAUUCUGCAAAUCCUAACUUUGAAAAAAAAAAAAAACUUUUUCUCUUUGUUACCUUGCUUAUAGAAAAGCCAUGAUCAUCUCGGUAACGGUUGAAAGUUGCCUUAAGUUGAGUCUUGCUCCUUGUAAUAAGGAUCCUGAUAACUUCUUCAAUGUUUCCUUUCUUGUUUUUGACAGCCUCAUGAAGAAUAUCAGCUUCAUGUUUUGCCAAAAUUGGAUUGAUUUCAACACCAUCAUAUCUAAAUGAGCUCACCAAUCCAACCAAAAGCUGCCAAAAAGAAAAAACCACCAAAUCUUCAAACCAUCAAAUAGUACACGCAGGAAAUGACAUAUAUUACAGGGGUGAAAAACACUAUUAUCCCUACUUUUAUAGGUCACUGAAUCAUUUCAAUCUGACUUGCCUGUCGAUGAUAGCCAGAGGUAUGUGCAGCAACAUCUUCUUCCAAUGAAUUCUUGUAUCUGUUGUGGUAGGCAUGUCUUACAGCCAAAAGCUCUUGAGGUUGAAGGACAGAUGCAAUUUCCACAAUCACAUGGUAGUCUUUGUUAAUACUCUUAAUGGCUACAUUAGCCAACACAGCAUAACGGUCUGCUGGGUCCAAUAUCCACCUAUACAUAGCUUUCUGAUUUUUUUUCAAAGUCCCAUUAGUAUAAAUACAUCAUAUCUUAUACAUUAGUAUUUUUUAUAUAAUUAGUUUGUGUUCUUGUUAGUUAGCACAGUGGUUGAAAUACCUCAAAGUUACCAGAGAGUUCAGAUUCAAGGCGUUUGAUGAGAUCCUCUUGAUAAAUGUCCUGAUAAGCUUGUCUAAUUUGUUGCCUUUGAACAGCAUUUCUCUGACCCAUUAUAGCUAUGAUAGCACUCUCAUCAGUUCCCCACCCUACAAACACAUUAAAAUUAUUCUCAAUUAUUUUCAUUAAUAUUCAAUGGUUUAUAAGAUGAUUUUUAUUACAGAUUUUUAAGAAAAUAGGAAGCUAUUAGGGUUUGUUUUCCCUAUCUUAUAAAUGGUAUACAGCGGCAGUUAACUGCGGUUGGGCACAUUUUACAGCAGUAUAAUCACUUUUCAAGUCGAUUUCAGCCGACUUAAAAAGUGAUUGAACCAUCCAUCGGUAGUUAACUACCGCUACCGCUCGGUAAGUGUUUUAGCAAUUUCAAAAGUGGGAAAAGUAACUCUUAAUUACCAAUUUGAAACUCAAAGUAUCACUAUCAAAUUAACGGUAUUCAAGGGGAACUUUGAAUAAUCACUUAAGUUUGUAGAAACUUGGGAAGAUAUGAAAAAAUUUGUAUAUUCAUUCGGAAUUAAACUCAAAAACAUGAUAAAACUAAAAAAGAUAAAACAUUUCUACAAACUUAAGUGAUUAUCGUUUUUAUACUUAAUUGAUUAUACUAUUAAAUUAAACGUUGAGAAUUUAUCAUGGACUUGUAAGAUGGAACUUUGAACAAUUGAAUCUGACCUUUGACUGCCUUCCAAAGUACAUCUGCAUCUUCCUUAGGAGAAUGAUUCAUAGGAGCAAUGAGAGUAGCCAUGGUUAUCACAGCUUGAAAUGUUUAUUAUAUGAUCUGGUUAUGUAAAUUGAAUGCUUUUCGAUCAAAAGCGAUACAUAUUUAUAAUAGGCUCUUACAAUGUCCAUGGUCUACCCAAGUGAAAAGGUAAUUAAGAAGAUUGUGUUUUUAGACCAAUUUUUGUUAAAAAAUCUUAAAAUCAUAAAUGAAAUCAAUAUAUUCCUUUUAUUGAUGAAGACUCAUAAGGAAGUGUUUAGGUAGAUUUCACUUUUACUAUAUUUAUAUCCGAUGUCCUAAAAAUUACCAUCUAUGUUAUGAAAAAAAUACGGAGGGUUUAGAAUUUGCAAAAGACGCUUAUUUUCUGAAUCUUAUGGCAGAAUCAGAUGCUUCUAAUGUAGUUUUAGCGUUGAAUGUUCACUAACAAUCUCUCAAUUAUGUUGGCUCAAUUAUUCAAGAUUGUAUUAGUUUUAAUGGUAGUUUUCGUAGUUUAAAUUUUUGCAUGUCAGGCGUGAAGCCAACCAAUCUGCUCAUUAUUUAGCAAAAUAUCCUCUUAAGAAUUUAGAUUGCAUAUGGAUUGAAGAAACUCCAUCUUGUAUUUCUGCAGUUUUAACAUUUAAUUUAUAGCCACACUUUUGUUAAUGAAAUUGUCAUUAAUGUAAAAAAAAAAAAAAAAAAAUGCAGGGUAUUUUUGUUAUACAAUGUAAACAGAAAAUUAAUUAUCUGUGGUAGGUUUAUAUAACUUUUUUUUUUUUUUUUUGGAAAGAGGUUAUAUACCUGUUUGAAAAAUCACUUUGUUGAAUAAAUUGUUUAAAUGUUUAUGGGUUGUUUUUCUGUGUUUCAGUAUGUCUUGAGCAGCUUGUAAGUACUGUUUAGUAACGAACAAUACUUAACUUCGGCUCCGUCUACGGUGCAUGAUGUGAAUAGGUCAUGCACCCGUGAGAGAUGUAAUGCUAAUUUUUUUUUGUUUUAAGCAUUUAAUGGUAGCAGUUGGAUAUAUUAUAAAGUAAUGAACGGUUAUGAUUGAAUUUAAGAAUUACCUGUUAAAGUGGUAUUGUUCGGUAAUUCACCUUGUUACUAAGGUGAUAAUAAUAUGAUAAUACAAAAAAAAAAUUAUAAAGCACAGAUUAUGUAUUAUUAGGUGAUAUUAAGAAAUAAACAAACAAAUUGUUUCGUUCUUGAUAAAAAAUUGUUUCAUCAUACUAAUAUUUCAUUUUAUUCUACAUUUAUCCUUUUAUCAACAAAAUUAUCUUUAAUAUAUUAAUUUAAUUUUUAUUAUUUAUUUCGUCUCUUUUUAAUUGUCACUUUAAGAAUUUUUUUGUCUCAAAAUAAUUGACACUUACGAAUAUCAACAUCAAAUGAAAUAAUUGUCACUUAAGAAUAUCAAUGUAUCAUUUUAUUUUAUUUUGUAUUUAUAUACCCUUAUUUAUUGAAUUUUAUCCAAACACAACUACGCUACUUACUUAGACUAAAUUUCGUUCUACACGAAUUUCAUAAGAACUAAGAUUCUUAUUUAUGAGAAUCUUACUAAGACUAACUUAAUAAGUGCGGCAAUGGGGUUGAGCAGGGACGAGUUUUACCUUCACGAUCUCCAUGCCCUACUCUCAUAUACUUACCUUUUACCUUACUCAUAGAAAUAGUUGUUCAUGGCUACACAACUCUUAUAUAAAAGGGGUAAUAAAUUGAUUUUCUACAUUUAGGAUGGGUUUGGGUAUGAAUUUGGGGUGGAUAAAUAUAUCCUCGUUACCCAUCUUAUACCCGUGUUUUGAAAUCGGGAAAAACCCAAACUCAUACCCAAACCCAGUCAUACCGGGGAAAACCCGUCAAAUUGGGUUUGGUUCAGACGGAUGCCCGCAGAUAUGGAUUUUGUUGCCACGCCUAUAACUUAUGUUAUAUGAUAAUCUUCCAAAGAACUAAGAUUCUUAUCUAUGAUAAUCUUACUAAGAUUAACUUUGAAAUUUUGGCACGUACGUAGUAGAGAUGUUAUACACGAUGUCAAGACAAGUGUGAUGUCAAGAAAGAUGUCAAGACAUCGUGAUAACACAAAUAACAAUCAACAAAUGAAAGUAAAUGAUGCAUAAAGUAAUAUGGCACCAGUUGUUUGUUAACCCAGUUCAGUGCAACAUCACUUACAUCUUGGGGCUACCAAGCUGAUGUAGUAAAUCCGCAAGUGCACGGUUUACCGAAGUAGUAAAAAGAGUAUCGUUUCGAUAGUGAGUUAUGAAUUCAAUUAACUUUAAAUAAUGAUUAGAUUGAGAGUUUGAGAUUAAAAAUUUUGGAUUUUUAAUUGAAUGAUAAUAAUAAUAAUAAUAAUAAUAAUAAUAAUAAUAAUAAGGCAAAAUUACACAAAUGGUCCUAUAACUUAUUUUUAGGUAACGUUUUCGUCCUCUAUCUUUUUUUUUUCCCAUUUUCAUCCUUUAUCUUUUUAAAAUGUUUCACCGUUACCCUUCUGUUAACCAUCUGUUAAAAAAAACUCUAUUCUAAUUACCUUUUUACCCUUUUAUAAUUACUCUCUUUUUCUUUGUUAUUUUCAGAAACGCGUUCACACACAGAGAACAUAAACGCGAUUGAGAAGAAGGAAAAUAGAAGAUGAAAACCUAGAACACUAAGCUUGACGAUGUGAUUCGAAAAACCAGGAAAAUGCUACUAUUCGAUUUGAAAAGUUCUGCGAUUUGAAACGGCACAGAGUUCUGCGAUUUGAAGUUGCAAUCAAAAACCUAGAAACCCUAAUUGAUUUUGAUUCUGCGAUUUGAAGGUAUGUAUCUGCAAUUUAAUGAAUUUAUUUGUUUUUCCGAAUCAUUAUGUGUUUCUAAUGUUGCUUUGAUUCAUGAACAUGCUAAAAACCCUCUCUAUAUUUCUUGUUCUUUGUAGCAAACCACUCUGUUAUAUUUCUUGUUCUGUUUCUAUCUAAAGCAUGCUGAAAAAAAAUACAUUUUGAUUAGUUUACUAUCUAUGUCAUGUUGUAUGUUUUUAUGUGUUUCUACUGUUGCUUUGGUUAUUUAUUUAUGCAUGUUGCAUAUGUGGUCCCUAUUUUUUGGUAGUGAUUUGUUGUGGUCCCUACCUAUAUGUUUAAUAGUUUUCCAUUGAUUAUGUUUUUGUCAUUAUUCAGAUGUCUACAAUAUCCGUUGAUAUUCAUCAUGGUGGCUAUUUUAUCGACCAAUCAAAGAAUGUGUACGAAGGUGAAGUGUCAAAUUGGAUUUGUGACACUGACUAUUGGUGUUUUUUUGAUAUUGAAGAAUAUGUUGGCAAAUUGGGGUACAAGGAUAACAUUAGCAUGUGGUAUGAGGUUGGUGGUGUUAAAAAGUGCCUAUCAGAUGAUACUGGAGCUAAUGAAAUGAGUGAUUGGGCCAAGGGUAAUGGAAAAGUGCAUUUGUUUCUAGUACAUUCAGUGUCACAGCCCAACUAUAUUAUCUAUAGUGAAGCCCAACCUGAAAUGCAUGAUGGAGACUCUGAUGAUAGUGCCUUGGAUGUGGGAUUUGGAGACUCGGAUGAUGAGCUGCUCAUUAAUGAUGGUUUUGGUGAUGUACAAACAGAAGUUGAUGUUCUUGGGGAAAUAACACCAACUAUUGAGGAUAAUGAGGAAAGAAGGAAAAGGUUAGGUGCUAAAAAGAGGAAGGGGGCAGAAAAUGAAGGAAAUUCAAGUAAAAAAAAGAAGGCCCCAACUGGUAAGAAAAGAGGGAGACCUAAGAAGACCAUAGUUGAGAAAGAUCUAAACGUGGAACUAAGUGUAGAGCCAAAUAUUUUAAUUGAUGAUGAUGAUUUCAAUUGGGGUACAACGAAAAGGCAAGAGCUUGUGAUGCCACAUAGAGGGUUGUCUGACGAUGAGUAUGUGUCUGAAGAGUUAGUUAGUGAUGAAUCGGGAGAGAAUAGUGACGAGGAAAGUACUAAAAAGAAGUUUUCAGGUUUUGUCAUGCCAAAAAAUAUGCUCGACUACAAGUGGGUCUUGGGUACACUUUUCUCAGACAGAGAGGAAUUUAAGGCUGCAAUUGCAACUUAUGCUGUUCAUAAUGGGGUCGAUGUGAAGAUGAUCAAGAAUGAUAAAAUAAGAGUGAGGGUUGUAUGCAAGGACCCGUGUCAGUGGAUGGCUUAUUGUGCUAAACUUCCCGAUGAAGAUACAUGGCAAUUGAGGAAAUUGUAUGACAAACAUUCUUGUCCCAAGGAUUAUAAAGUCUCAUUAAUGAAAUCAAGUUGGCUGGGGAAAAGAUUAGAGUCAACAGUGAGGGAGACUCCUAAUAUUACACUGACAUCUAUUUCAAACAAAGCACAUCAAAAGUGGAAUGUUGGAGUGAGUAAGAUGAAAGCUUAUAGGGCUCGUAGGGUUGCAAUUGAUUUGGUUGAUGGAUCAUUUAGAGAACAAUAUCUUAGAUUGUAUGAUUACUCUCAUGAACUAAUGAGAUCUAAUCCACUAAGUACUGUCAAGGUGCAGAUUCAACCUACAAUGGUAGAAGAUAGACGGGAGAACAAUGAGGAAAUUUAUGUGGAUAGACCCUUGCUGCCAAGUUUCCAACGCCUAUACAUGUGUCUUAAUGGCUGUAAAGAGAGUUUCAAAGUGUGCAGGCCUAUUAUUGGCCUUGAUGGUUGUUUUCUUAAAGGUUAUUAUGGAGGUCAAAUACUUGCUGCUGUGGGUAGAGACCCAAAUGACCAAAUGCUCCCAAUUGUUGUGGCUGUUGUUGAAAGUGAAACAAAAGAUUCAUGGGAUUGGUUCCUUAAACUGCUAGUUGACGAUUUGGGUGGUCCAGAAGCAUGUAAUUCGUACACAUUCAUAUCUGAUCAACAAAAGGUUAGUUUCAAUAUCAUAAUUAUUUCUAAUUGAUUAUAAUAUUCAUAGUUGAUUAUGCAUAUAGACUAUAAUAUGAAUAACUUAUUAUACAUAUUGAUUAUUUGGUUUAAGGGACUUUUACCUGCCAUGGAGGCGCUUCUUCCUGAUGUUGAACAAAGGUUUUGUGUAAGACAUUUGUAUAAUAAUUUUAGAAAAAAGCAUCCGGGUAAGAAACUCAAGGAGUUAAUGUGGAAGGCAGCCAAGGCUACAUAUUUUCAAGCAUGGGAGAGGGAGAUGAAAGAAAUAAGGAAGGUUAGUGAAGAAGCUUAUAAAUAUUUGCUGAAGAUUCCACAAAAGCAUUGGUCGAAAUCAAGAUUUUCAUUCAAUUCAAAGUGUGAUGUAUUAGUCAACAAUAUGUCAGAAACCUUCAAUAGUGUAAUAAUUGGACCCAGGGGAAAGCCAAUUGUUACAAUGUUUGAAGACAUCAGAGGCUAUUUUAUGGAAAGGUGGGCAACAAACAGAACUAAGAUACAAGCAUAUGAUGGCUCUGUUUUGCCUAACAUAAAGAAAAAACUGCAGAAAGAGUGUGAGUUAUCAAAGAAUUGGGGAUGCAGGUAUGCUUUUGUCAUAUUCUAACUUUGUAAAUGAAUAUGUAUCUAAUAUGGUUCAGUUUUUCUAAAUGUAUGUUUCUGCUAAGUGCUUUUGCUUUUUGGUUUGUCUAAAUGCUAAGUGUUUUUCUACUAUAAUAAUAUCAUGAUUUCUUGCCUUCUGUUAUGAGUUUUUCUAAAUGUCGUAAUAUGGUUCAGUUUUAGACUUUUAACUAGUGUAUAUAUAUAUAUGCUUAUGUUUGACAAGGUUUUCGGCUGAGAAUAUCUAUGGGGUGUAUGCCCUCAAUCACACAGGAGAGUCCUUUACAGUAAGUCUGGAAAAGAAAGAAUGUUCUUGCAGGAAAUGGAUGCUUACUGGAAUACCUUGUUGUCACGCAGUAGCAAGCUGCAUAUUUGCCAAACAAGAUCCGGAAAACUUGAUUCCUGAUUGUUACAGAGUAGAGAAAUAUGAGGCUUGUUACCGUCCUAUCAUUUAUCCACCAAAUGGAAAGAACCUGUGGGUUUCAACUCCAUAUUCAGAUAUAUUACCACCCCCUUUAAGGAAACUUCCUGGAAGACCGAAAAGGAAAAGGAACAAAGAUGGUGAUGAGAAAGCGAGAGAUUCUUCACUUGUUAGUAGAAAAGGAAUGCCCGCUAGAUGUUCUACAUGCAAACAACCUGGUCAUAACAAAACUUCUUGUAAAGGGCCCUCAAUUCCAACUGUAACAAAUCAGACUCAAAACGCACCUAAUCAGAGCCAAACUGCACAACCUGCGCCUGGUGUUGGUCAGAAUGCAACACAGACCCAAACUGUUGCUACAUCUCAGAAAAAGCCUAGAGGAAGACCUCGAAAAGUCAAUGUUGCUGCAAGUACUCAGCCUGUUACUAGUAGUAUCUCUGCAACAUCAAAUAUGGUAACAAAUAUAUCUGGUGCAAAUUCUCAACCUACUGCAAGCUCAAGAUAUUCAACAACAACUCACUUUGCUAGACAAAAGAUGAAAAUAUGGAGGCCAUGAUAUUUGAUGACAGUUUGUUUAAUGUAUUUUUUGGGCAACUUUUGUGAUGUCUUACUUUGGAACCUAAUGUCUUUUUGUAUGCAGCUCUUGUACUGCCUUUAUGUUGGAAUUUUAUUACUUUCAAACCUUAUGUCGUUUUGUAAGCAGCUUGUACUGCCUUUAAGUUAGAAUUUGUGGCAGUAUGUAUUUAUGCAGUUAAUUAGUUAUGACUGAUUUUGUAACAAUGACAAAAGUUGCAUUAUGUUAUUAUGGGAGAAGUUAUUAUAACAAAAGUUAAUUACUAUUGAUACCAAUUGAUAUUAUUGCGUAUGAACCUAUUAAUUGAAACUACAUGACACCAAUUAUUUGACACAAAUUGGUAGAGGAAAUUAUUAUGGCAGCUGGGUUUUGUUUUUUGGUCUUGGUUUGGCCAUUUGUAAUUGCUUAUGUUCUGUCCGUAUCCGUCCAUGGCUUGUUAGUGCUUCUCGCACGGGCUAGUGGCUAAUAAUAUUUUGCCGAUUAAAAAAAAAAAAACUCUUGCAAAAUCAAAUGAGAUCAAGUCACCAAUUUGUUGACACUAACUCAUUCAGUCGGACUAUAUCAAUACAUAAUUGUUGAGUACAUUCAUCGAGUACAUUCAAUACAUAAUUUCUUAACAAUGAACAACCUUAUUUGAUCAACUUAAACAUAAAAGUUACACCAAAUAAAAGAUGAUAAUCAAAAUCUUCAUCCAACUUUUUGUUGAGUUGUGGUCCAUUUGCAUCUUCAGGAUAACAUUCUUAAGUGUCCUUGAUUCCAAUUCCAUUUGCAUCCAGAAUUAAUGUUACUAGCCUACAAUUUAUGAAGAAAAAAAAAACCAUUAAAAUUAAGGCAAAAUUAACUAGUGAUAACAGAUCUGAAAAGGAUUAGCAAGAGAGAACAAGGUAUGUAUGUAAUAAUAUGUAUGAAUACUCACCACAAAGUUCCUACAACCCCAAAAUUUCCUUCCUCUAUUAGGACCCAUUUUCGUCACUGUUCUAAUAACAUGUAGCAUCUUACAGAAACAUUCUCGCGUGAACAGGUUGCGUCCCCCAGAAAUGAAAGAACCGGAAAAUGAUUGUGUGUGUGAACCUUGUGUGCGUAAGGAUGCCAUGAAUUUUGAGAUUUGAUUUUUUAGGGUUCUUGCAGGUUGAAGGGUGAUUGAGAAGAAGCUUGUGUGAACAUUAGAGAAGAUGAACAUAACGUUAAUUUUUUUUUUUUAACAGACUAGUUAACAGAUUCCACUUAAAGGAUUGUUGUGCAACAUUUUAAAAAGAUAAAGGAUGAAAAUGAGAAAAAAAAAAAGAUAAAGGACGAAAACGUUACCUAAAAAUAAGUUAUGGGACCAUUUCUGUAAUUUUGCCUAAUAAUAAUAAUAAUAAUAAUAAUAAUAAUAAAAGCGCAUUGGGAUUUAUUGGUUCAUCUGGUAACAAACCCUUCACAAACCAAAUCCUAAACCUAGAACUUUAUGUUGGACCUACUUUCUAAAGACAAGUUUCUCUUAAGCCUAUCACAUCUCCUUUCGGUUUUAGUGAGUGUGUUCCUCUAGCAACCACGCCUAUUCUCAUGGUUGAUUGCUAUUAGAAUCCUUUAAGAACGAAACUUAUUUAUUGUCUCAAGGUUUGAUAGACUAUUCUCAUGUUUUGUAGACCUUGUCUAAUUUCACUUGUUCAAUAUCAAAACUUCUUCUUUCGAUGCUUCGCUUUGAUAUUUGUGAUGAUGAAUUAACAAGUAUUAACCCUCUGUUGUCGCUUUAUGAGUUUGAUACUUCUUAAUUCAUUAUAAAAACGGUGAAAUUAGAUUAGAAAUUAGAUUUACAUAAAAUUAGGGUUCGAUGCUUGGUUUGAUCAGGAUUAGGUCAUUAGACUCAUCCAACAAUCCAAAGACAAAGAAGUCUACUCACUAACGUUCAUUGUAGACAUAGAGAAGAAGAAGAAGAAUAAGAAGAAGAAGAACAUAAAAUAAAAUAAAGAAAUAAAGAUGAACUUUUAUUCAAAUAAACAAUUGUCACUUAUUAUUUCAGAGAACAAAAGAUGAUUUGUUGUGACUGCUAGCUACUCUAUUUAUAGUUUACAAUGACUUAAGACCUAAGAAAUAUAUCACUAGAAUGUUCCACAAGAAACCAUGGGCUUUUAGGUCAGGAAUAAACUAAUAGGUAGCUUGUCCAUGAAGCAGAAAGCAGCAAAAGGCAUCCUGAGAGUUGGCACGACCGUGUGGCUGGUGGCACGGGCCGUGCCAAGCUUCUGACUUGGGGGAGUCAUAUUUUUGUAUUGAAUCUUUGUAUUUUCAACCCGAAUCAGCUCCAAAUCCCUUUCUUUUGCUCCAAGACUCAAUCUUUAGAAUAUUUGUUCCUGAAAUUAAAUAACUUGCAAUUGAAGUAAAAUAGUUCUAGAAAGAAAAUAAAAACAAAUAAAAUUUAAAUAAAAUAGACUCGAAUAAUAUAUUUAAAACACUAAUUAUUGACUCAUCACAAGCCAGGAAGGAAAUUCACUAUAGUAGUAUCAAUUCAAAGCAUACAUAGAAACCCUUAGUCUACUAUCUUCUCACUUAAUCACUACCGGUGUAAUUUCUACCUACGACUCUCCUAGUGCUAGAUAUGAAAUUCCCUACUCAAUUCCUCUUACUCACAAUCACAGUGAUUCCCUACAUAAAAACCCUUGGUCUACUAUCAUCUCACUUAAGAAUAUCAAUGUAUCAAUUCCUCUUACUUCUUAAUACCACCUAAUAAUACACAAUAUGUGCUUUAUAAAAAGAUUUUUUGUAUUAUCAUAUUACUAUUGCAGUUACUUGAACAAAAAAUAUAUUACCCCUAAUUUAGUAACAUUUUAAGUAUAAGAAUGCAUGGCUAUUUUCUAUCAACCAGUAAAUCAAAUAAUUGAGGUGAAAUUUAAUACGCUGAAUUAUUUUCUGGGAUAUUCCAUCCAAUUGCACAAGGGUUCUUCAUAAAUUUUUAAUCAUUUCCAGAAACACCGUUUAUAAUAUUAUUAGAAAUUAAGGUACAUAUGUAUAUAAAUAAACAAGGAGAAUUACUCAUCAAUACCACUUUAACAGGUAACUCUUAAAUUCAAUCAUAACCGUUCAUUACUUUAUAAUAUAUCCAACAACUAGCAUUAGAUGUUUCAAACAAAAAAAAAACUAACAUUACAUCUCUCACGGAUCCAUGACCUAUUCACAUCAUGCACCUUAGACGGAGCCCUUAACUUCAGUUGAAGAACAAAUAAUCUUAAUCUUCACUUGGUGCUUGUGAGUAUCCUAGGUAUCUAAAGAGCAAUUUUCAAAAUAUUUCCGUCAAUAAUUUAAGGGAAUUACUUUUCCCACCCUAUAUGACCUUCUCCCGUGCCCCGUAAAAUUUCAAAAAAUGUCUUUGUCCAUUCCGGAUUUUAAAAUCCGGAUUCAUGUUUACUAUUUCGAAUUUUAUAAUUCGGACAAUUCUUAUGUAUAAUUAGCCAUCAGACUCUCUCACAUUUCAGCAGUUUUGAAUUUUGCUUUUAAAAACAACAAUAAAAUUAAGUAAAAAAAAUGCUAAAAACCUGUCAAAUAAAAUCAUAAAAAUAUAAAAAUAGCACCAAAAAAUUCUAAAAAUCAAAUAAAACUAAUGCAAAUUUUUUCGGAUUUUUCUAAGAAUAAAAAAGAUUAAAAAAAAUGAAAAAUAGGUCUAAAUGAUGGAAUUUUUUAUUUUGAGGGGCGGAGUCCCGUAAGAAGUUAUUUAUAAGGGAGCCAUGGUCCUUGAAUUUUUUCUGAUUUUCUGGGGAGGUUUCGGAGCAAACCGAUCAAGUACCCCGAAAACGCAGUUUUUGACUAAGAACAGGUAACAAUGACCAAAAACAGAAGGAUGAGAGUUAGGAAAAUUAAUAUUGUCCCUAAAAUGACUAUCCAUGUUACAAACAUGUUUAGAAUUUGUGCUGAUACAUUUCAGAUUAUAUAAUCCGAACUGUUUUACCUUGAAAAAGGGUGUUUAUUGGAUUUCCGAAUUACAUGUUUUUUUUUUAUGAAUCAAGAUAGCAAAAAAGACAUCAAGAAGACCCUAGACAUAUCAACUAUAGGUUGGUACCUAGUAGCUGCUCUCAUCCUCUACUAGCUGCUCUGAAAUUUUAUUAAAAAAGAAAAAAUUAUACAAGAUGGGGGACUAACUAGGCCAAAAUUGUUGAAAAUAACAACAAAAGUUGGAACUAAGGGAAUCUAAAAUUCAGUAGACCGUGUAUGUCCUUGUAAAAAUCCUGCCUAAAAAAAAUAGGUAAAGAAACCCACGAGACAACAAAUAUAAUAACGUGACCAUGACUAUAUAGAAGCAUCUAAUAUUCCAAUAGAAGACCUUCAUUGAGAAAGAGGAGUAAUUGCACCUUUAGACCGGAUUUUGUAGGACACUCGAUAUAGUUCUUUUUUCUGCUUUUUAGUUAGGUAAGGUGUAAGUUGUUCAUUAGAAGUGGUAAAAGAUGAUGUCGUAACACAUGAUGUAUUCAACAACUGAAUUGGCUCUAAACAGUUAUAUGUUUAUUUUGCGAGAUUUUAAACAAUUUUGCAGCGGUUUUAGUUUUCGGCAGAUACAAAUCUCCGCAAAGUGGUGUGUGACCCACCUAGAGAAAUUAAGAAUCAUAGGUCCAUUUUGAGAGAUUUUAAACAAUCUUUCAUUGGUUUUCGUUUUAGGCGGUUCUUAAAGUGGCAUAUGUGAUUUUUGUCAUGUUUAUAACUUGAUUGUUUAGCGCAAGUUUCUAAACCUUUUAAUACGUGGGGGUUUCAAAUCUUCUUUAUAUUGUCCUAGCAACAUAAAAUCCCCCAACCUCCAAUUAAUAGCUAUACUAAAAAAAAAAUCAAUUACAUAAUAUAUAGCAGUAGUAAAAUAUGCAAUUCACUUUUUAAAAAUAACCACCCAAACAUUUUAGUGACACACCUCUACUUCAACUUCGUGCUAAAUACUCUUAUUACAACUUUAAUUGUGUAUAUAUAUUAUAGUUUAUUUUAAUGGUUCACCUAAACUUUUUUUCAAACUCCGCCAUCAAUCAAACUUGUUAAAUUACUGGUUAAUAACUUUCUUUUUGCCGGAUAAAUAGAUAAUUUAUUAUUAAAAAAAAGUAUAGGGUGUAGUAUCUGAGCAUACGAACCUUUCUAAGGGUGAGUAGAGUCCUUCUACUUUGAUGAUUCAAUAAUUAUGGGAAAAAAAAAAAUUCAUCUAUAGAAUUUUCGAAUAAACAAAAUAUGCUUUUUUAUUUAAGAAGCCAAAAUAACUAAUCAAAAAUGGUUCAACUAACACAAAGUAUGUCAAGAAAAAUCAUCAAAAACAAAUACAAAGUUAUUAUCCUGGUGCCAUAUGCUUUCUUUGAAAGUGCCUUAUAUAUGCUACAAUAAAUCUUUAAUGAGUAGGCCUGUCAUAUACAAACACCAAUUCUUGUACAUAAUAAUUACCAUUAAACUUGCAUGAUUCCAACAUGUGGCCAUCUGAAGGAUUGUAAAAUGACGUUUCUCUUGUUUGGUUAGUUUUGCAUUGACACCUUCCUUGUUUGGCUUAUUAUUUUAGUAGUUUUUGGGUACAAGGUCAUUGUCACAUAGGACGAUUAAUUCGAGGAUUUUUUUUCUUUGGUGAAAAAUAAAAAAUUCUUAGUUACCUUUAUCAAAAUCAAAAUACAUGAUGCACACUUUGAACCUCUUGAUUUGAGAAUCAUUGACACCAAUCUUGAUUGACCAUCCAAUCUUCUUUGACCAUCCAAUCUUGAUUUAAAUGAAAUGAGUUUCAACCUUGCAAAACUUUAAAUUUGAUGUCGGUGAAUUCGAGAUUCUUCAACUACAAAGAAUUUAAUUCAGAAUGUCUUAAGUUCGAAUAAAAUGAACUAUAUUCUAAAAUUUAACAGAGCACGAAAUCCUUAAUCUUAUCUAACAAUUAACAUGUCUACGACAUUGUUUUAUUUUUGAGCUUGUUCAUCAUGUAUUAUUGAUAAUGUUUGAAACUUCAAAUAAAGUUUUCAAGUCAAAAUGAACCAUCAAACAUACCAUCAACUAUAUAACUUUUAAGUUCUCAUAAUGAAAGAAAAACUAAAACCACAUUCAACAAGAUAAACCAAAACAUCACAACUUUAAGUCUUGAUUAAACUAUUAAGCACAAGCUCCAUCAAGAGAAGGGAAAAACUCAUUCCUCUUUCCCCAAGAGAGUGAGAAGAAACUUCUUGUAAUCCCCUGAAGUUUCCUUGGCCACAACAUGCUCAAGAAGAACACUGUUUCUUUUGUAGUAAACAUCUGAGAUGACUUUUAGGUCAUGCUGAGCUCUGCUCACAAUCACACGGGUCAGCGCAUCCUCAUCAGUUCCAACCUUCUUGAUUGCAUCUCGCACCACCUACGAUUUGAUCAGAAAAUGUAAAGUUCAAAUCAUUGUAGUAACAAUAUUUUGUGGACAUGGUAAAGCAUUUUAUAACGAGAGUGUAUCAAAAUUAAACUCUAGAAGAACAUUUUAUGAAUGGUUCCGAUUUGUUUUCAAUGUACAACUUUUACCUAGACAAUGUAUCAAAAUUAAAUUCAUCGCAGAAAAAUGUGAGAGAUCUACCUUUUCAUAGUACUUAACAUGAUCAUUGAAGCUACGGAUGGUGGUAUACAAUGCCUUCUGAAAUUCAUCAGAUCCUUCAUCCAACAGCUUCUGUAAAGAUUAAACGGACACAAAUUUAAAUAACGAAUCAUAAUAUCAUAAUUUUUUUAAUAUCGUAAUCUUUUUAUUAUAUACCUUAGUGAUGGAAGUACCAUGAGUCUCUCUGUAGCGGUUGAAUGUCGCAAUCAGCUGGGUUUUGCUCCUUGUAGUCAAGAUCCUUAUGGCUUCUUCAUGGCUUCCUUUCUUCUCUUUCACUGACUCAUGAAGAAUUCCAGCUUCAGUUUGCGCCAAUUUUGGAUUGAUCUCAUCACCAACAUACCUAAAUGCAGUCACUAGCCCUACCAAAAGCUGCUCAAAAAAUCAACCACAAAAUCAAGAAACCAUGAUUUCAAGAAAUAUCACAUUAUGUUAAAUUCCUAAUUUUCAUAUAUGUAAUUGAAAUCAAUCUUUUGUCCGCGAUCAUGAUCUAAUAUUGCAUAUUGUUAAGAGUUAAUGGAAAAAGGACUUGCCUGGCGAAGAUGGCCGGAAGUAUGGGCAGCCAAAUCUUCUUCCAAGGAGUGCUUGUAGCGUUUGACGUAAGCACGUCUCACAUUCAAGAGCUCUUCGGGGGAGAGAACAGCAGAAAUUUCCACAAUGACAUUGUAAUUUUUGCCACUCUUGAUAGCAACAUUUGCCAAAACAGCAUCACGCUCCGCAGGUUCAAGAAUCCAACGGUACACAGCUUUCUGUUCCGAAAUUCAUCAAUACACAAAAUAAGUUUCAAAAACAUGUCUAAUAGAACAUUGACAAUAUCAUGUACCAAAGAAACAGACAUAAACAAUUUCAUUUUUUUCAAUGUUAAUCAUCAUGGUAAUAAAUCAAUAUGAUACCUCAAAGUCUCCUUUGAUCUCAGAUUCCAAUCGUUUGAUAAGAUCCUCAUUGUAAAUGCCUUCAUAAGCUUUUCUGAUUUGCUGUAUCUGAUUAGAGUUUCUAUGACCAAGUAUUGUUAUCACUGUCUUCUCAUCAGUACCCCAUCCUACAAAAAUUAAUCAUCCAUCAAUUUUAAUACAACAUAAUUUUAUAAAUUCAUCAACAAUUCUAACAAAUUUUCAAUCAAAAAACAAUUUAACAUAUUGCAAUGAAGUAUUUGAGAUUAGACUGAAAUUAAAAUGACAAAUAAAAUCUAUAUAAACAAGAAAAAAGGGGAUGAUAACACCUUCGAAAGCCUUUCUUAGAGCUUCAGCAUCUUCAUUGGGAGAAUGGUUGCUAGGAGCAGAAAGGGUAGCCAUAGUUCAAUAUGUAUUGUUUAUAGUGCUAAGUAAGAAAAUGUGAUGAAGAAAUCUAAGUCUAUGGCUCUUCUAUUUAUAAUACUAUGAAAACAAAAAUGAAUACAUACAUCAUAUGUAUAUGACCUUUUUCAUAGACCAGAUACAUCAUUUAAUUAAUUAAUUCAAAAUGUUUAUUUUUGUUUAUUAAAGUGACCAGAGGGUGUAUUUGUCCUGUAAGUGACAUCCGAUAAAACCAAAACGGUAUAAAGAAAUAAAUGUAUCCUUGGAAAGUAAAAUAUUUUUUUGUCGGCGAUGAGCUAAUUUUUGGUCGGCGGUGAGUCAUUGGGACCAGACUCAAAUCAUCAUGUAGACCAAAAAGGUACGUUAAUCCAUAGGAGACAUUCGAUAAAAUUAGAACCAAAGACUUAAACAUAUUUAGACGGUGAGACAUUUUAUAGUUGCUGAUGAGCCAUCAAGACGGGAACUCUAUGAACUCAAAUCAUGUAGACAAAAAAUGCAUUUUGUCUCUAAACUCCUUUUAAACGGUGAAAUGUUCUCCAAUACGACGAGUCAUCAGAAUUGAAAUCGGGACUCAACUCACGUAAACUUUUCUCAUGAUAGAAUUGUGCAAUUAUUUUGAGAAAGUGAUAAAGAUUGAAAAUUCUAUAUAUGCUCUAAAUUAACUUUUUUUUAUCACUAUGGUCCAAUUCAAUGCAUUGGAAAUCUCAUUCAAGACUUAUAUUUGUACAAUAAUUUAUCACAUUGAUUCUUUUUCCUUUUCAUGUUGAGCAAACGGAUUCAAUUUCAAAGGCAAUUUUGGCAGUACCUUAAGAGACCAAUCUGUAAACAGCAAAUAGUUAAUUCAUUGAUAUUAGUGAUAUCACUGCCACGUACUAUCAAAGUGAUCAAAGCACAAAUCAAUGUCACAGGGACGGUGAACCAUAUAUAAAUGGUAUUCUUCCAUUUAUAAUAUGGUCAAAUUAUAAUACCAUAUGGAGUAUAAUUGAUUGCAACUUUUUCCUUCUUUGUAAAUGGCAUAAAAUUGGUAAAAUUGAUAACUAUAGAAAUGUGGAUUGGUAAAAUUGGUGAGUUUAGUAGGAACGAGUGAAAAUAAAUAGAUGAUGUUUUGGUACCUAAUUGUGGGUUAGGUACAUUAUAAAUAAAAUGAGUCAUGACUACCCUUUUGAGUAAAAAAAAAAAAAAGAAAGGACAUUGAUGAUGUUUUGUCUUUUAAUGUUCUGUGUUUUCAUUUCUCCUUCAUAUAACAAAGUGAAAAAAAGAUAGAUCCAAUAUUUUUUUCACUAUUUCCUUUUACAAUUUUUUACAACAAAUCUAACAUUUUUAACGAUUUUGAAUAUGCCCGUUUACAUAUUUUCUCAGUCAUAUUUUUUUAUUGCAUAAGUCUUUCGUCUCCUUAUUAAUAAAAUUGUUUUCGACAAUUAGACACGGCCUUAAUUUUUGGUUUCACGCACACAAAAUAGCAAGAACAACGACAACAACCAAAUCUUAUUUGACUAAAUGAAUCGGUUACAUGGUUGAAUGCCAUAAUACUCUAUCAUAUACUUUCGUCCAUACAAAACAUGCUAUAAAAAGUUGAGAUACCUCACAUAACACAAGUUGUGUACUUGUGUUCUUAUUAGUAAGAAAAGGAAGAAAAAUUUGUUACACUAACCAACCAAAGAUAACUAUCUCAUCUUAUGAAUAUGAUGAUGCAGCAAAGUAUAUUAAUUAAUUUUUCCAGAAAGAAACAAACAUAUUAGGUUAAAGUAUCUACACUUUUGUGGUUUCAGUAUGCAAAAAUGAUUAUAUAUUAAAAAAAAAAAUCUUUGAUGCAGCAUAGUAUGCUGGUUUUAGUUUGGACUUUGAUCUUUGGAGUACCUCAAACCACAUGUUAUUCAUAUAGAACGUCAGCGAUUGUUCAACUACUCCUAUUAUCGAUUUUUCUGGAAGCAGUGGUUUUUUUUAAAGGUUUUCCAAAACAGUGUUAAAAUAUAGAUAAAUAAAAUAAAAUAUUUAUCUAUUUCGACAAGAUAUUUUUCAUAGAAGAUAAAUACAUCACCUCUUCAACUUCUUGAUCUUAUAAACAGAAAAAAGUUCUUAUCCUUAUUUUAUUUUUUUGACAGACUUGAUCUUGAGAUUGAUCAAAAGCCAUUUUGUUUGAUUUUUUAUUUUUUUUUGUAUUAUAGAUUUUGAAACUUUCUAGUACUCAAUAAUAUUAAAUAUUCCCUAGUAUCGCAAUCAAUAAAAUGAAUUCAAUUUAAUUACUUAAUUGUUCAAAGUUAGACAAUAAUUGCUAAAAAAAAUAGGUUUUUGUUUGUCUUCAACCCUCUAGUAUGAGAAGGAGGUAUUGAGAUAUUGUUGAGAAUCGGCUGGAGUUUGUUAACCUACCCAAUCACUUUGUCAUUAAAAAAAAAAAAAGGCUUAAUUGCAGUUUUGACCCCCUAUGUUUUAAGAAGUUGCGAUUUUGGCCCCCUAAUUAAAUAAACUACAAAACCGCCUGCUAAGUAUUGACUUUUUCGCAGUUUUGGCCCCAUGCCAAUUUUGACCAAGUCAAAGCUGACGUGGACGCCACACGUAUGUAUUUAUUUUCAAGUGGCGUCCAUGUGUGUAUUGACUUUGCCAAAAUUGGUCUGGGGUGCCAAAACUGCAAAAAAGUCAAUACUUAGGGGGUGAUUUUGUAGUUUAUUUAAUUAGAGGGCUAAAAUCUCAACUUCUUGAAAUAUAGGGGGCCAAAACUACAAUUAAACCAAAAAAAAAAUAUACUCUAUCACUUGGUUUGAUAAACAUAGAAUAAAAAAAUAAAUAAAUAAAGAAAUUAAAACCAAUUUAUUUAUUUUUUGGUUCCAACAAAAUUUCUUACUAGAAUUUAAACUUAAUCACAAUUUCAUUAUUCAACAAUCAUAAAAUAAAAAUAAAACGUAAGGAAAUGCAAGUUAUAGACACAAUGAAACUAUAGAAAUUAAGAAGAAUAGGAACAUAUAAUAAUAAUUAAUUGGUUAAUACCUUCGAAGGACUUGUGGAGAAGCUCAGCAUCUUGAACAGAAGCAGUUGAAUCUUGAACAACAAGUGUAGCCAUUGUUGAUUCCCUCUUUCUUUUGUAAAUAAGCCUUUCUUGUGAUUAUGAAAAGAUAAAAAAAAAGAAGUGAUGAUGGAUUGGAUUAAUACGUUAAAGAAAGGCUUUGGGAAUUAAACGUUCAUUCACGGCUAUAAUAAUGUUUGGACUUCGGACGUUACGUACUUUUGAUUUUGUAUAUGAUUUAUUUUUAUUAUUUAUUAAUUUUAAUAUUACUAUUACUAUUCUAUACGUUAUGGAUAAUUUGGUAUCCUCUUUGGGUUUCAAAUCAUGGCAAAAACUCAUGACCAGCUUCACAUGUUAUUUAGGGUUCAUCACGUAAAAAUAAUGUGUGAAAAGCAUGUGUCAUCUUGUUAUGUCAUGAUGAAGCUUUUUUUUUUUUGUCCAUAACAAUCGCGUGAGGAAUCCAUUUGAAAUUCAUUGAAAACUUGUGUCAUUGUAUAGGUGCUAACUCCAAUAAAUUAAUUAUCUACCACUUAGGUUUAAUUUGGUAAACCUCAAAAGUUACUUAUAACGGAUAAGUUGAUAUGUCUAAAAUAGUCAUGUUUGGUAAUUGUCUUUUAAUAACGAGUUUAUAGUUUAUUUUACAAAUUUAUAAUUUAUUUUAAGUAGCGUUUGAGCUUAUAGCUUAUCAUUUUUUAUUCUAUUUUUAUCUUUAUUAUUUUAUCUAAAAUCCAUUUUCACCCUUUAUUCUUUAUUAUAAUUAAAAAUAAUAAGAACGAUAAUUCAGUGAAGUAUUUUUAAAGAAUCGGUGUAACUGUUCAUAUUUUAUUUUUUACGAUAACUGUCCAUAGUUUUUUUUUUCUUAGUUUUCUUUUUUAAAACAAGAGUUCAUAGUUUUUUCUUAUAUUCCUUCAUCAUCGUUAAUAAAUUUCUUGUAUAUAAUAAUACAAAUAGAUGAUAAUACAUUCUCACCACCAAAAAGAGAAAGAUGAUAAUACAUUCUGGUAGUAAUGUGGUUUAGUUUGGUUUGUAGAUCUUAAAGGUUCUUUUCUGACACACCUUAUGAUAGUAAGAACUCUUAGUUGGUGUUAAUAUAAUCCAUUUUCAUAUGUUAAAAAAAAAACAUUCUCGUAACAUCCAUCGUGACAUUUAUUUUCUUUAUAAAGUAUAUAGACUUAAAUGAAAUCUUAUAAGGACGGUAUAUAGACUUAAAUGAAAAAAAAUUAGAACCAUAACAUUUUAGCGAAUUAAAAUUAGUUUAAUAAUAUAAAUUAUAUUAAUAAAUUUAAAACCCUAAAUUCUAAAUACUUGAUAUAAGUUUUAUUAUGAAUUAAGAAUGUACACUUAUAUCAUUUUACAUUUAUUAGUUAAUUGAACUGCUAAUUUUACCAAACAUUUUAAUUAGUUUAUAUAAAUCAUCAAUCAUCAGCUAGUAGCUAUCAAUUAUCCGCUAUUUUUACUAAACAGAAUCUUAAUAGCGAAAGAGUUCGCAAAUUUGUUUUGUUCACAAAGCCUAUUCCUAAAAGGAUUGCUUGAUCUUUCUUAAUUAGUUGAUAAUAUCAUUCGAAUGGAAGAACUGUUAUAGAAGCUUCUAUCCAAAGCGGACAAUUGUUGAAUUAUAUUUAAAUUCAUUGACGUGUGUAUUUGAAGGUCUUUAUUUUCAAGUGAACUAUGUUAAUUUUGUUAUUUUCGUCCGUACUCUAUUUUAUUUUGUUCUUUAUCUCGUUAGUUUCUUCGUUUCUAUUUGUUUUUUAGUUUGUCUCGUUAUGAUUGAAUUUACGUAGAAAGUUUUAUUUUUAGACCAAAUCCAUGAUUAGUUGGUGCGACUAGAAUGCUCAAUCAUCUUGGCCAAUAUUGGCUUUUAAGAGAGAAGCAUGAUACAGUAUUAUUGAUUAAAUUUGGUGUAUAUUUUGAAGAAAAAAAAAUUGAUAGGGAAAUAGGAAAUAAAACCCAAUUGUACCAAUAUCAUUCAUGUUCAUUUUUCAUUCAACUGGUGAUUUAAGUUAUUAUAUGGUGUUCAUGCCAUUGAUUAAUUGUAUCAUUAUGCUUGAGCUUGAAGCCAUAAAUAAUAAUUCUCUUAAUAUGUUGGAUUGGUAAUUUUUCUAUCCAAAAUAUUAUGUAAUUUUCACCAUUAAAUUUUGUAAUUCCACCAUUCAUUCAACUAGUAAUUUAUUAAAAUAGAAGUACAAAAUAUCUCUCACACAGCCAUGAGACUCAUGAAAACAUGAUAUAAAUAGACAAAUUAACCAAACCAAACCACAAGAAAGAAACCAACAUAUCCAAAUCCCAUUAUUACAAAUAUAUAUGCCUUAACAAGAUCAAUUACUUCAAUCUUGCUUCCCCAACAAGGUAAGGAUGAACUUCUUGUAGUCUCCUGAAAUUUCCUUUGCCACUGCAUCCUCAAGGUGAACACUGUUUCUCUUAUAAUACAGCUCUUUGAUGUCCUUCAGAUCUUUCUCGGCUCUUGUCACGACCACACGAGUCAGUCCAUCCUCAUCGGUUCCAACCCUUUUCAACGCACCGCGUAGAAUCUAAACAUCAUGGUAAAAAAAAAAAAUCAAGGAUAAUCAUCGAUUAAAAUAUGUUACAAGUUUAUGUGUGAGACGGUGUGAAAAUAGUCCUUGAACAAAUUGAAAGUCAGAAACUA